Molecule: ribosomal RNA, 672 nt
Filed under: Triticum aestivum (bread wheat)
Lineage: Eukaryota; Viridiplantae; Streptophyta; Magnoliopsida; Poales; Poaceae
Description: partial small subunit ribosomal RNA
Source: RNAcentral
AUGGAGGUUCCAGAAGAUCGUAGAGUUCCUUUGGUCGCAUACAAGCUGAAAGGAGGAGCAGGUGCAUGGUGGCAUCGCAUUCAAGAAGAGCGCAGACUGAGAGGAGAACCUCGUGUGAGAACUUGGCGGCAAAUGAAAGGCCUCUUGAAAGGGAGAUUUUUGCCCGCUGAUUAUGACCAGAUACUAUUUAGCCAAUUGCAAAAUUGUGCUCAAGGAAAAAGGAUUGUUUCAGAUUACAUGGAGUUUCUAAGGCUACAAGUGAGGUGCAACCUUGCUGAAACGGAAGAUCAACAAGUUGCAAGGUACAUCAAUGGUCUCAAUGAUGCUAUUCAAGAUCGAUUAAUGAUGCAACAAAUCUGGUCCAUUGAUCAAGCACAAGCUCUAGCCUUAAAGGCCGAGAGGUUUGUGAGGACAAGAAAGGCAACUAAGGCUCCACACCCUCCAUAUCCUCAUACCAAAGGCUCGUCUAGGAGUCAGCCUAAUAGAGUGGAAGAAAAGACUGCUCCACCAAAGGCAAAAGGACCCAUCCAGAAGCAAAUUAGAGGCAAGGGUAAGUCUAAUAAAGGCCCAAAGUGCUAUAAAUGUGGUGAAGAGGGACACAUAUCCGGCGGUUGCCCACUAAGGAAAUUUGUUAACACAACUAUCCAUGAUGGUGAAGACGACGAGGAAUAA